This 461-nucleotide ribosomal RNA is filed under the name uncultured bacterium. RNAcentral describes it as "SSU rRNA". It matches the Rfam family "Bacterial small subunit ribosomal RNA", at positions 26 to 518 of the family's 1533-position model. The record is from RNAcentral.
AGAAUCAACGCUGGCGGCGUGCCUAACACAUGCAAGUCGCACGAGAAAGGGGAGCAAUCCCUGAGUACAGUGGCGCACGGGUGAGUAACACGUGAAUCAUCUACCUCCGAGUGGGGAAUAACUGAGAGAAAUCUUAGCUAAUACCGCAUAAUACCCACGGGUCAAAGCAGUAAUGCGCUUGGAGAGGAGUUCGCGGCAGAUUAGUUAGUUGGCGGGGUAAUGGCCCACCAAGACGAUGAUCUGUAUCCGGCCUGAGAGGGCGCACGGACACACUGGAACUGAAACACGGUCCAGACUCCUACGGGAGGCAGCAGUGGGGGAAUUUUGCGCAAUGGGGGAAACCCUGACGCAGCAACGCCACGUGGAGGAUGAAGCCCCGUUGGGUGUAAACUCCUUUCGAUCGGGAAGAUAAUGACGGUACCGAUAUAAGAAGCCCCGGCUAACUUCGUGCCAGCAGCCGC